ACUCCCAGAGCUGUUCUCUGCUGAGAGCUGAGCUGGUUUCCUGCACCACAAGCUUACACUGACAUACAAGGUCUUGCCGCAGGUCCAAAGCUCUGUGGCCAGCUGACCACGUACUGAUACCUCAAAGCGAGCCAACAUGGCGCCUCUCACUGCAAGUUGACUCAUCUCAGGUUGUUGGUAUGGCCGCACUUCUUCUUGCGGCAGUUGACUGCACGAGGGUGCAGGCGUGCGUAGCACUUGCGGCAGAUCAUCUUGUCACAGUUGUACUUCUGGGCAAGCUGACGAAGGGAUGGCUCAAUGAUGCCACCGCGCAGACGCAGCACCAGGUGCAAGGUGGACUCUUUCUGGAUGUUGUAGUCGGACAGGGUGCGGCCAUCCUCCAGCUGUUUGCCCGCGAAUAUCAGCCUCUGCUGGUCAGGUGGGAUGCCUUCCUUGUCUUGGAUCUUGGCCUUGACAUUCUCGAUGGUGUCACUGGGCUCGACCUCAAGAGUGAUGGUCUUGCCCGUCAGGGUCUUCACGAAGAUCUGCAUGUUGGCGUCUGCCGCUCGGCCGCCUCGUUGAAGAGUGGAUAAAGCAAUUUAAAGAGAAAAAAAAAAAAAAAAAAAAA
This 607-nucleotide unclassified non-coding RNA is filed under the name Mus musculus (house mouse). RNAcentral describes it as "A-Uba52-4a antisense RNA". Lineage: Eukaryota; Metazoa; Chordata; Mammalia; Rodentia; Muridae. The record is from RNAcentral.